UUGGCUUGCUGAAGAGUGUGCCAUGCUGAAGCCUAGGAACUGAAGUUAUCUUGCAGGCUUCUGUGUAUAUUUUAGCAGGAUUCCUAAUAUUUGGCUGCAAAUUCAAACCAAGUUGUGACAUAUAGCCUUCCCUCCUUUGCAGCAGACUCUUUGGCUUUCUUAGCCCAGAACAGCACAACUGCCAAAGCACCAUUAUGUGCCCACUAUAGACUUCAAGAAUACUCACAAUUUUUCUCAUGACAAUGAAAGAUGUUUUACCACAUCUAAGUAUGCUGCUGGGGAAAUAGCCCACAGAGAUACAGGAAAUCUUUAUGAUGCAUGCAGACCUUCUCAAAUAAGAAGAAAACAACAACACAGAGAUACCCUCAAGGCCACCAUGAACAGGUGCCCAGGCACCUGAUUCUGUUUGCUGAAGUCUCUGCUUUCUACCAGUUACUCCUGUGUUCCUGCGCCCCAUGGAGAAAGAAUUCACUAGCAAGUGGUGAAGAGUUUCCUUAAAGACAGGAGAAACUUUCUUUCCCUUCCUUCUCUAUAUUGUGAAUCGGCUGACAAUAAAGUAGCGGCACUGGUUCAAGUAA
Long non-coding RNA from Sceloporus undulatus (fence lizard), 578 nucleotides. RefSeq lists it as uncharacterized. Lineage: Eukaryota; Metazoa; Chordata; Lepidosauria; Squamata; Phrynosomatidae. The record is from RefSeq and is a predicted model, not a curated record. The transcript is spliced from 2 exons.